UCAAGACUUGCAGAUUCACAGGAUCUUCAUAGACUACAAGGGAUAGAUUAGUGGACGGUUCUUCACUAUCUUCCUCAUCUAGGGGGGAGCAUAGAAAGAGUAAGUUUCAUAUGCUCAGUAAGAAAAAUAGUAUUUAAAUAAUAUCGUAAGGUUUAAAAGGUGAAUAAUUGUGCAGAAAUACUUAUCAUUAGAUCACGUUGGAGUCCUAUCUUACCUUAUGAAAAUAAUUUUAAUUUAUUAAGUAAACAUCAUACUCAACAAUAGAUAAAAU
Molecule: long non-coding RNA, 271 nt
Filed under: Carica papaya (papaya)
Lineage: Eukaryota; Viridiplantae; Streptophyta; Magnoliopsida; Brassicales; Caricaceae
Description: long non-coding RNA (CPAP_LNC014221)
Source: RNAcentral